UCGUCAACAGUUUGGCGAUAUAGGGGAUAAGCGGCAGGUUCAGAACCAAAAGAACCAGAUUGCCAAUAUACAUCGAGAUAAUAACCGCCCAGAACACAUCAGGCUCAUCGGUCAUCAAUCUUGGGCC
RNAcentral lists this non-coding RNA (127 nucleotides) under marine eukaryotic metagenome. The record is from RNAcentral.